GUGAACCAGCGGAGGGAUCAUUACCGAGUGUAAAAACUCCCAAACCAUUGUGACUACCACUGCUAUACACCUGUUGCUUUGGCGGGACCCACCGGGGCCACCUGGUGGGCGCGUUCGCGCGGCCCGGACCCAGGCGUCCGCCGGAGGCUCCAAACUCUUGUCUUUUGUGUAUUUCUGAGUGGCAUAAGCAAAUAAAUCAAAACUUUCAGCAACGGAUCUCUUGGUUCUGGCAUCGAUGAAGAACGCAGCAAAAUGCGAUAAGUAAUGUGAAUUGCAGAAUUCAGUGAAUCAUCGAAUCUUUGAACGCACAUUGCGCCCGCCAGUAUUCUGGCGGGCAUGCCUGUCUGAGCGUCAUUUCAACCCUCAGGACCCGUUCGCGGGACCUGGCGUUGGGGAUCAGCCUGCCCCUGGCGGCGGCUGGCCCUGAAAUCCAGUGGCGGUUCCCUCGCGAACUCCUCCGUGCAGUAAUUAAACCUCUCGCGGCAGGAUAGCGGUUGAACCACGCCGUUAAACCCCCCACUUCUCAAGGUUGACCUCAGAUCAGGUAGGAAUACCCGCUGAACUUAA
RNAcentral lists this ribosomal RNA (567 nucleotides) under Acremonium sp. C54. RNAcentral describes it as "eukaryotic LSU rRNA". The stretch from base 201 to 354 matches the Rfam family "5.8S ribosomal RNA". Lineage: Eukaryota; Fungi; Ascomycota; Sordariomycetes; Hypocreales; Bionectriaceae. The record is from RNAcentral.